AAUGAACGCUGGCGGCAUGCCUUACACAUGCAAGUCGAACGGCAGCAUGACCUAGCUUGCUAGGUUGAUGGCGAGUGGCGAACGGGUGAGUAAUGCAUCGGAACGUGCCUUUUAGUGGGGGAUAACGUAGCGAAAGUUACGCUAAUACCGCAUAUUCUCUGAGGAGGAAAGCAGGGGACCUUCGGGCCUUGCGCUAGAAGAGCGGCCGAUGUCGGAUUAGCUAGUUGGUGAGGUAAAGGCUCACCAAGGCAACGAUCCGUAGCGGGUCUGAGAGGAUGAUCCGCCACACUGGGACUGAGACACGGCCCAGACUCCUACGGGAGGCAGCAGUGGGGAAUUUUGGACAAUGGGCGCAAGCCUGAUCCAGCCAUGCCGCGUGAGUGAAGAAGGCCUUCGGGUUGUAAAGCUCUUUCGGCUGGGAAGAAAUCGCACCCUCUAUUACAGGGUGUGGAUGACGGUACCAGCAGAAGAAGCACCGGCUAACUACGUG
This 490-nucleotide ribosomal RNA is filed under the name uncultured bacterium. Its description in RNAcentral is "partial 16S ribosomal RNA". It matches the Rfam family "Bacterial small subunit ribosomal RNA", at positions 29 to 507 of the family's 1533-position model. The record is from RNAcentral.